RNAcentral lists this ribosomal RNA (1429 nucleotides) under Urceolus cf. costatus. Its description in RNAcentral is "partial small subunit ribosomal RNA". It matches the Rfam family "Eukaryotic small subunit ribosomal RNA", at positions 614 to 1398 of the family's 1831-position model. The record is from RNAcentral. Lineage: Eukaryota; Euglenozoa; Peranemea; Peranemida; Peranemidae.
UGCUGUUAAAUGCUCGCAGUUGCUGGCAAAGACCCUGAUGCUUUCAGGGCGGCGACCUGUCCGUUCCACUGGGCACUCUUGUCCCUCCUGUGGCCCAGGCUGGGUGCCCUCAUGGGUUCCCCAGCUUCGUGCUGCCCCAGGUCCGGACAGAGGACGUCUGGUGGUCCUCUGGAUGGGGAGCCAAUCUGUCCCUGUGGGCUCGAGCCGCUGUGCUUCAUUGGCAUGUCUCUCUAUUGGGUUCGGACAUAUGGUGGAAGCAAGACCCCCUGAGCAGAGUCCUCCUUGAGUGGUUGACCGUCUUGUUAUCGUCCAUCACACGGACAAAGGGGUUUCAAAGGAAGCUGUGCUGCUGCCUGCGCCAUCACCCCAGGACCCUGGUCCUGGGUGGGCCUGGGAAGCGGCCAUGCCUCUCCUCCCAUCCACCAGGGGGUGUCCACUGAUGCUGCCGUGAAGAAAACAGAGUGCUCAGAUCAACCAACCUGACUGGGAACGCCUUUGGAUGUGUCAGCAUGGAACAGCAGGGAAGCGACCGCCAAUGCAGGGGGAGGGUCAAACCUCUUCCUGCUUCAUUCUGUCAGGACGCAAAGGACGCCAUACCAGCCUUCAAGACCUUGGUCACCCAGCAAUGGACAAUGCAGCACCCACCCCUGGGCGGGGCAACCUUGGCUGGUGGGCAAACCGCUCUGGUCUUGUGCACAGAAGGCCGAGGCAACCUUGCAAAGUGAGGUGUGUGCUGACCGGGAGCGAUGGGGGCGACACCGAGACUGAGGGUAUUGCCAUGUCAGAGGUGAAAUUCUUGGACCAUGGCAGGACCUCCAGCGGCAAAGGCGCUCAGUCAGUGUGGCUCCGUCAAUCACAGAACGAAAGUGUGGGGAUCGAAGAUGAUCAGAUACCGUCGUAGUCCAUGCCCUGUAAACUAUGCCGGCUCGGUGUGGGACCUGCGAUCCGUCUAACCUCGGCAUGUCAGGGUCCACACCACAAUCCUUGUCCACCGAGAAAUCUGGAGCCUGUGGGUUCAGGGGGGAGUACUGCUGCAAGGCUGAAACUUAAAGGAAUUGACGGAAUGACACCACAAGGUGUGGAGUAUGCGGCUUAAUUUGACUCAACACGGGGAAACUUACCAGGUCAGAACAUGGCGAGGAUUGACAGAUUGCAAGCUCUUUCUUGAUUCUUUGGACGGUGGUGCAUGGCCGCUAUUGGUUGGUGAGGUGACUUGUCUGGUUGAUUCCGAUAACGAGCGAGAUCUCUGCCCUAUGAUACGUUGCUGUGUUGGACCUAUCUCGGGUGCCAGUGCCCCAUCUACUCUCUCCUGUCGCAGCUGCCGGCAGAGCCGCCUCCUGGUGGCCCUGUGGGUGGUUGUUGUGGGAGAGGGGGGGCACACCAGUCUGACUGGACACCCUAAACCGCUGAGUGUACUUCCUGGAGGACU